AAACUUUCAACAACGGAUCUCUUGGCUCUGGNAUCGAUGAAGAACGCAGCGAAAUGCGAUAAGUAAUGUGAAUUGCAGAAUCUAGUGAAUCAUCGAAUCUUUGAACGCACAUUGCGCCCCUUGGUAUUCCGAGGGGCAUGCCUGUUCGAGCGUC
Molecule: ribosomal RNA, 154 nt
Filed under: Phyllactinia betulae
Lineage: Eukaryota; Fungi; Ascomycota; Leotiomycetes; Helotiales; Erysiphaceae
Description: 5.8S ribosomal RNA
Rfam family: 5.8S ribosomal RNA
About the family: 5.8S ribosomal RNA (5.8S rRNA) is a component of the large subunit of the eukaryotic ribosome. It is transcribed by RNA polymerase I as part of the 45S precursor that also contains 18S and 28S rRNA.
Source: RNAcentral